This 432-nucleotide ribosomal RNA is filed under the name uncultured Pseudomonas sp. RNAcentral's name for it is "bacterial SSU rRNA". It matches the Rfam family "Bacterial small subunit ribosomal RNA", at positions 355 to 779 of the family's 1533-position model. The record is from RNAcentral. Lineage: Bacteria; Pseudomonadati; Pseudomonadota; Gammaproteobacteria; Pseudomonadales; Pseudomonadaceae.
UGGGGAAUAUUGGACAAUGGGCGAAAGCCUGAUCCAGCCAUGCCGCGUGUGUGAAGAAGGUCUUCGGAUUGUAAAGCACUUUAAGUUGGGAGGAAGGGCAGUUACCUAAUACGUGAUUGUUUUGACGUUACCGACAGAAUAAGCACCGGCCAACUCUGUGCCAGCAGCCGCGGUAAUACAGAGGGUGCAAGCGUUAAUCGGAAUUACUGGGCGUAAAGCGCGCGUAGGUGGUUAGUUAAGUUGGAUGUGAAAUCCCCGGGCUCAACCUGGGAACUGCAUUCAAAACUGACUGACUAGAGUAUGGUAGAGGGUGGUGGAAUUUCCUGUGUAGCGGUGAAAUGCGUAGAUAUAGGAAGGAACACCAGUGGCGAAGGCGACCACCUGGACUGAUACUGACACUGAGGUGCGAAAGCGUGGGGAGCAAACAGGAUU